UAAAAUAAAAAUAAUAAAAUAUUUAAAAAAGAAAAAAGAAUAGACAGGGAUCCUCCCAGAUCUCUGUAGUUCUUUAUGGUGCACACUUAGCAUAGUUCUCCCUACCCAUUGUCUAAGGGCAGCUUACUACCUACAUACUUUGUACCUUUUUCUCAAAAGAGACUAUCUAUAGUCUUUGCUGGCAGGACUGCUAGCUAUACAUCACAACUAUUAAGGAAAUCCUGUCUUAGCUAUUUCUGGAUACCUGAGUCUUUUCUGUAGGAAUCUUGAAUUGGAAGGAGUUCUGGCCAGUUCUAAGUACUAAAUUCCCUAGCUAUGGACUUGGAGACUGACAGUGCCACCUGGAGGCCACUAUGAUGGAUCCAUUCCUCUCCUUUAUUGGAACACAGUCACUUUGCAUGGCUCUUCUGCACAGUAACUUGAAGUACAGAGAUGGUACUUGAGAAGGCAGCGUCAAUAUACCUUCAACUGACAGCACAAGAAAUGUGGAAAGGAAUAUAGAACAGUCAGUCAAAUCUACCUUUCAUGAGACUCACCUGUCUGUCUGAUUGGGGCAUUUGUGGAUCACAGACUAUAACAAAUGGGAAGAAAAAUAAUUUUUAGAAGAACAUAGAGUUUUUAUGACCCAAAGAGAGGCAAAGGAAAUAGUUAAACUGAUGGUCAAUCAGAUAGGGAAAAAAAAAAUAAGCAAAAUACAAUUAAGGCACAUGCCUCCAAUACUAUCAGACUCCAAUGAUAAGACACAAUCUCUAAAGCUCCUGAAGAGGAAUAUGGGUUAAUCACAAGAAUCAAACCAGUAACGAACUGCUCAUCACCACCACUAACAGCUAGAAAACCAUGUGGCAAUGUCAGCUGCUACAAGGAAAUGUUAUUUUUGAUCCUAUGCUUAUUAUCACCCUUAAAACAUGAGAACCAAAAAGAUACAUGAUCAUAUAAGAAUUCUGUGAUAGGCUGGAGAAAUGGCU
Molecule: long non-coding RNA, 965 nt
Organism: Nannospalax galili (Upper Galilee mountains blind mole rat)
Lineage: Eukaryota; Metazoa; Chordata; Mammalia; Rodentia; Spalacidae
Exons: 3
Source: RefSeq, a predicted model, not a curated record